RNAcentral lists this ribosomal RNA (492 nucleotides) under uncultured bacterium. Its description in RNAcentral is "partial 16S ribosomal RNA". It matches the Rfam family "Bacterial small subunit ribosomal RNA", at positions 29 to 507 of the family's 1533-position model. The record is from RNAcentral.
AGUGAACGCUGGCGGUAGGCCUAACACAUGCAAGUCGAACGGUAGCACAGUAAGAGCUUGCUCUUACGGGUGGCGAGUGGCGGACGGGUGAGGAAUACAUCGGAAUCUACUUUUUUGUGGGGGAUAACGUAGGGAAACUUACGCUAAUACCGCAUACGACCUACGGGUGAAAGCAGGGGAUCUUCGGACCUUGCGCGAUUGAAUGAGCCGAUGUCGGAUUAGCUAGUUGGCGGGGUAAAGGCCCACCAAGGCGACGAUCCGUAGCUGGUCUGAGAGGAUGAUCAGCCACACUGGAACUGAGACACGGUCCAGACUCCUACGGGAGGCAGCAGUGGGGAAUAUUGGACAAUGGGCGCAAGCCUGAUCCAGCCAUACCGCGUGGGUGAAGAAGGCCUUCGGGUUGUAAAGCCCUUUUGUUGGGAAAGAAAAGCAGCAGGUUAAUACCCCGCUGUUCUGACGGUACCCAAAGAAUAAGCACCGGCUAACUUCGUG